Molecule: long non-coding RNA, 744 nt
Organism: Daphnia pulicaria
Lineage: Eukaryota; Metazoa; Arthropoda; Branchiopoda; Diplostraca; Daphniidae
Exons: 3
Source: RefSeq, a predicted model, not a curated record
AGAGCCAUUGAAAUGGUUUUAAAAGAAGUAAGCAUGUGUGAAUCCCAUUUUAUCUACCAAGAAGAAGUUUCUAAAAGUGUAAAGACUAAAGCUACAUUGACAGAAAGAAGGACAUUUGUUUCAAUUAUAGGAACAGAUGUCUAGAAAAAGUGCCUCCAAACUGAAAUGUGUUUUCUCAAGGUUAUACCAGGUUUUCAUGGAUGAAGGAAGGGCUGUACUAGUUCAUUAUUUCCAUCGAUCAGCAGACAUUUAUGUUUUCCUGUCCUGUGUAAGAAAGCUUUCAAUUUACGUCCACAAUGAAUCUCAAAAUUUUUCCCCCAACCAAGAUCGACAAAACUUUAGCUAGGCCAUCCCAGAAUUGUUGACUCAAGAGAUUUCAUCCAGAAGUUGUAGUGUCUCAUUUAAACAACACAGAAAAAUCAUUUAAUGCCAGGUUUUCACAGAUAGGAAAGUGACACCUAAAGUGUUUUGCGUUAAAAAAGAAGAUUCAAUUAAGUGUAUGUAUUUAAAAGUUGGUUUAUGGGUUCCUGAUUCGAUUUUUGCAAAAACAUUUUGUAUGUGUAGAAUGUCGCAAAUGUUGUGUAAAAAUGCAAUCCCAACUUACCCCAAUUCAUUGGGCAACUUACCCCGUAGUUGGGGCAAGUUGCCCAUUGAAGGUGUCGCAAUAAAACGUAUUUUUCGGCAAGUAUUUUUCCUUUCCUAAUAAUUUUUUUGACGCUAUUUUUAUGUUAAGAUGAUAAGGUU